AACACAUGCAAGUCGAGCGGUAAGGCCCCUUCGGGGGUACACGAGCGGCGAACGGGUGAGUAACACGUGAGCAACCUACCCUCAACUUUGGGAUAAGCCUCGGAAACGGGGUCUAAUACCGGAUAAUACUGACCGUCUCCUGGUGGUUGGUUGAAAGUUCUGGCGGUUGGGGAUGGGCUCGCGGCCUAUCAGCUUGUUGGUGGGGUAAUGGCCUACCAAGGCGUCGACGGGUAGCCGGCCUGAGAGGGCGACCGGCCACACUGGGACUGAGACACGGCCCAGACUCCUACGGGAGGCAGCAGUGGGGAAUAUUGCGCAAUGGACGAAAGUCUGACGCAGCAACGCCGCGUGAGGGAUGACGGCCUUCGGGUUGUAAACCUCUUUCAGCAGGGACGAAGCGAGAGUGACGGUACCUGCAGAAGAAGGACCGGCCAACUACGUGCCAGCAGCCGCGGUAAUACGUAGGGUCCGAGCGUUGUCCGGAAUUAUUGGGCGUAAAGGGCUCGUAGGCGGUUCGUCACGUCGGGAGUGAAAACUCGGGGCUUAACCCCGAGCCUGCUUCCGAUACGGGCAGACUAGAGGUAGGCAGGGGAGAGCGGAACUCCUGGUGUAGCGGUGGAAUGCGCAGAUAUCAGGAAGAACACCGGUGGCGAAGGCGGCUCUCUGGGCCUUACCUGACGCUGAGGAGCGAAAGCGUGGGUAGCGAACAGGAUUAGAUACCCUGGUAGUCCACGCCGUAAACGUUGGGCGCUAGGUGUGGGGG
Molecule: ribosomal RNA, 763 nt
Filed under: Kribbella sp.
Lineage: Bacteria; Bacillati; Actinomycetota; Actinomycetes; Propionibacteriales; Kribbellaceae
Description: bacterial SSU rRNA
Rfam family: Bacterial small subunit ribosomal RNA
Source: RNAcentral